CCUACGGGAGGCAGCAGUAAGGAAUAUUCGACAAUGGACGAGAGUCUGAUCCAGCCAAGCCGCGUGAAUGAAGAAGGUCUUCUGAUCGUAAAACCCUGUUGUUAGAGAAGAAAGAUCUUGCGCGUAACUGUUCUCGUUUCUACGCUAUCUAUCCAGAUCAGCAAGGCUAGCUACGUGACCGCCGGCGAGGUAAUACGUAGGUGGCAAACGUUAUCCGGAUUUGUUGGGAUUAAGGGGAACGCGGGUGGUCUGUUAAGUCUGAUGUGAAAGGUUGCGGCUUAACCGUAGUAGUGCAUUGGAAACUGGGAGACUGGAGUGCAGUAGAGGAGAGCGGAAUUCCAUGUGUAGCGGUGAAAUGCGUAGAUAUAGGGAAGAACUCCAGUUGCGAAAGCGGCUCACUGGGCUGUAACUGACGCUGAGGCUCGAAAGCGUGGGUAGCAAACAGGAUUAGAUACCCGAGUAGUC
This 465-nucleotide ribosomal RNA is filed under the name uncultured bacterium. RNAcentral's name for it is "partial 16S ribosomal RNA". It matches the Rfam family "Bacterial small subunit ribosomal RNA", at positions 338 to 795 of the family's 1533-position model. The record is from RNAcentral.